This is a long non-coding RNA of Cervus elaphus (red deer), 275 nucleotides long. RefSeq lists it as uncharacterized. The record is from RefSeq and is a predicted model, not a curated record. The transcript is spliced from 3 exons. Lineage: Eukaryota; Metazoa; Chordata; Mammalia; Artiodactyla; Cervidae.
CAACCCUCUGGGUUCUCCCAGUACACUGGCUUUAAGUGCCCUGUUUCAUGCAUCGAAUUUGGACUGGUCAUCUGUUUCACAUAUGGUGAUAUACAUGUUUUAAUGCUAUUUUCUCAAAUCAUCCUACCCUCACCUUCUCCCACAGAGUCCAAAAGUCUGUUCUUUAUAUCUGUGUCUCUUUUGCCGUCUUGCAUAUAGGGCCAUCAUUGCCAUCUUCCUAAAUUCCAUAUAUAUGCAUUAAUAUACUGUAUUGGUAUGAUAAUGACUGAUGCUGA